This is a non-coding RNA of Cinara cedri, 328 nucleotides long. Lineage: Eukaryota; Metazoa; Arthropoda; Insecta; Hemiptera; Aphididae. The record is from the annotation of a GenBank genome assembly.
GGUCGCCGUCGCCAAGGUACGAGGACGACAAAGAGCUUGCGUACACCUCGCGCGGUAGAUGGAAAAACACGUACCGACAGAACAUUAUGGUCUCUCGAACCAACGUGUGCCGGACGUUACGCGAAAACGGAAAUCGCAAUGGCGUAAAAACACCAAACUACAAACGUGGAAAAAUGAAACUACGGGACGAGCGCGAGAGUAGAAGUCGACGCGCCCGACGGUCACCGGCAGAAAUGACGAGCGCCGGGCGGCGAUCGACGCCCAUUCGUAUCGCGUCCGCAGGGUAAUGUGGUCGCGUCCGCGGCGCGUGAAAGGCCGGGCGCGGGGC